AGUGGUUCUUGGGUGAUGCACCCGGGAAUUGGGCUCCCUCCCCUCUGGUUCCAGGUGCAUCACCAGAGACCCGCA
Myotis davidii is the source of this 75-nucleotide non-coding RNA. NCBI's taxonomy places the organism in Eukaryota, Metazoa, Chordata, Mammalia, Chiroptera, Vespertilionidae. The record is from Rfam.